UGGCGGACGGGUGAGUAAUGUCUGGGAAACUGCCUGAUGGAGGGGGAUAACUACUGGAAACGGUAGCUAAUACCGCAUAACGUCGCAAGACCAAAGAGGGGGACCUUCGGGCCUCUUGCCAUCGGAUGUGCCCAGAUGGGAUUAGCUAGUAGGUGGGGUAAAGGCUCACCUAGGCGACGAUCCCUAGCUGGUCUGAGAGGAUGACCAGCCACACUGGAACUGAGACACGGUCCAGACUCCUACGGGAGGCAGCAUUG
This 257-nucleotide ribosomal RNA is filed under the name uncultured bacterium. RNAcentral describes it as "partial 16S ribosomal RNA". It matches the Rfam family "Bacterial small subunit ribosomal RNA", at positions 96 to 353 of the family's 1533-position model. The record is from RNAcentral.